AUUGAACGCUGGCGGCAGGCCUAACACAUGCAAGUCGAAUGGUAACAGGAAACAGCUUGCUGUUUCGCUGACGAGUGGCGGACGGGUGAGUAAUGUCUGGGAAACUGCCUGAUGGAGGGGGAUAACUACUGGAAACGGUAGCUAAUACCGCAUAACGUCGCAAGACCAAAGAGGGGGGACCUUCGGGCCUCUUGCCAUCAGAUGUGCCAGAUGGGAUUAGCUAGUAGGUGGGGUAACGGCUCACCUAGGCGACGAUCCCUAGCUGGUCUGAGAGGAUGACCAGCCACACUGGAACUGAGACACGGUCCAGACUCCUACGGGAGGCAGCAGUGGGAAUAUUGCACAAUGGGCGCAAGCCUGAUGCAGCCAUGCCGCGUGUAUGAAGAAGGCCUCGGUUGUAAAGUACUUUCAGUCGGGAGGAAGGGAGUAAGUUAA
This 435-nucleotide ribosomal RNA is filed under the name uncultured bacterium. Its description in RNAcentral is "bacterial SSU rRNA". It matches the Rfam family "Bacterial small subunit ribosomal RNA", at positions 30 to 462 of the family's 1533-position model. The record is from RNAcentral.